AUUGAACGCUGGCGGCAUGUUUUACACAUGCAAGUCGAACGGCAGCACAGGGAGCUUGCUCCCGGGUGGCGAGUGGCGCACGGGUGAGUAAUACAUCGGAACGUGUCCUGUUGUGGGGGAUAACUGCUCGAAAGGGUGGCUAAUACCGCAUGAGACCUGAGGGUGAAAGCGGGGGAUCGCAAGACCUCGCGCAAUUGGAGCGGCCGAUGCCCGAUUAGCUAGUUGGUGAGGUAAAGGCUCACCAAGGCGACGAUCGGUAGCUGGUCUGAGAGGACGACCAGCCACACUGGGACUGAGACACGGCCCAGACUCCUACGGGAGGCAGCAGUGGGGAAUUUUGGACAAUGGGGGCAACCCUGAUCCAGCCAUGCCGCGUGCAGGAUGAAGGCCUUCGGGUUGUAAACUGCUUUUGUCAGGGACGAAAAGGACCGUGUUAAUACCAUGGUCUGCUGACGGUACCUGAAGAAUAAGCACCGGCUAACUACGUGCCAGCAGCCGCGGUAAUACGUAGGGUGCAAGCGUUAAUCGGAAUUACUGGGCGUAAAGCGUGCGCAGGCGGUUCUGUAAGACAGAUGUGAAAUCCCCGGGCUCAACCUGGGAAUUGCAUUUGUGACUGCAGGACUAGAGUUCAUCAGAGGGGGGUGGAAUUCCAAGUGUAGCAGUGAAAUGCGUAGAUAUUUGGAAGAACACCAAUGGCGAAGGCAGCCCCCUGGGGUGCGACUGACGCUCAUGCACGAAAGCGUGGGGAGCAAACAGG
This 757-nucleotide ribosomal RNA is filed under the name uncultured bacterium. RNAcentral describes it as "bacterial SSU rRNA". It matches the Rfam family "Bacterial small subunit ribosomal RNA", at positions 28 to 776 of the family's 1533-position model. The record is from RNAcentral.